This 330-nucleotide long non-coding RNA is filed under the name Pollicipes pollicipes. RNAcentral's name for it is "uncharacterized LOC119102318". The record is from RNAcentral. Lineage: Eukaryota; Metazoa; Arthropoda; Thecostraca; Pollicipedomorpha; Pollicipedidae.
GCCAGGUGGAUGGAGUGUUCCGGACUCUGGAGACGGAGCGGGCGUCCUUCUCAGGAGUCCAGGCUGACCUGACCUUCCAGCUGGGUCAGCUUCAGGAGGCGCUAGAGGAACGGAAGGCAGCCGCCCAGCUUCUCACCUCCAAACUGUCUGCCACCACUGCCAAGCUGGAGACCACGGAGAAGGACAGGGCGGAACUGGAGGAAGAGUUGACAAGCUGCCGGGCCGAGCUGGCCUCCGUGAACACCACACGGAAACAGGAGCAGGAACAGCAUAAAGAGGCGGCGCAGCGGGCGGAGCAGCAGCACGGCGAGCAGGCGGCGGAGCUGGAGC